This 465-nucleotide ribosomal RNA is filed under the name Vreelandella stevensii. RNAcentral describes it as "partial 16S ribosomal RNA". It matches the Rfam family "Bacterial small subunit ribosomal RNA", at positions 338 to 795 of the family's 1533-position model. Lineage: Bacteria; Pseudomonadati; Pseudomonadota; Gammaproteobacteria; Oceanospirillales; Halomonadaceae. The record is from RNAcentral.
CCUACGGGAGGCAGCAGUGGGGAAUAUUGGACAAUGGGGGGAACCCUGAUCCAGCCAUGCCGCGUGUGUGAAGAAGGCCCUCGGGUUGUAAAGCACUUUCAGUGAGGAAGAACGCCUGGUGGUUAAUACCCAUCAGGAAAGACAUCACUCACAGAAGAAGCACCGGCUAACUCCGUGCCAGCAGCCGCGGUAAUACGGAGGGUGCGAGCGUUAAUCGGAAUUACUGGGCGUAAAGCGCGCGUAGGUGGCUUGAUAAGCAGGUUGUGAAAGCCCCGGGCUCAACCUGGGAACGGCAUCCGGAACUGUCAAGCUAGAGGGCAGGAGAGGAAGGUAGAAUUCCCGGUGUAGCGGUGAAAUGCGUAGAGAUAGGGAGGAAUACCAGUGGCGAAGGCGGCCUUCUGGACUGACACUGACACUGAGGUGCGAAAGCGUGGGUAGCAAACAGGAUUAGAUACCCCUGUAGUC